RNAcentral lists this ribosomal RNA (585 nucleotides) under uncultured bacterium. RNAcentral describes it as "partial 16S ribosomal RNA". It matches the Rfam family "Bacterial small subunit ribosomal RNA", at positions 355 to 1375 of the family's 1533-position model. The record is from RNAcentral.
UGGGGAAUUUUGGACAAUGGGCGAAAGCCUGAUCCAGCAAUGCCGCGUGUGUGAAGAAGGCCUUCGGGUUGUAAAGCACUUUUGUCCGGAAAGAAAUCCUUGGCUCUAAUACAGUCGGGGGAUGACGGUACCGGAAGAAUAAGCACCGGCUAACUACGUGCCAGCAGCCGCGGUAAUACGUAGGGUGCAAGCGUUAAUCGGAAUUACUGGGCGUAAAGCGUGCGCAGGCGGUUUGCUAAGACCGAUGUGAAAUCCCCGGGCUCAACCUGGGAACUGCAUUGGUGACUGGCAGGCUAGAGUAUGGCAGAGGGGGGUAGAAUUCCACGUGUAGCAGUGAAAUGCGUAGAGAUGUGGAGGAAUACCGAUGGCGAAGGCAGCCCCCUGGGCCAAUACUGAUGCUCAUGCACGAAAGCGUGGGGAGCAAACAGGAUUAGAUACCCUGGUAGUCCACGCCCUAAACGAUGUCAACUAGUUGUUGGGGAUUCAUUUCCUUAGUAACGUAGCUAACGCGUGAAGUUGACCGCCUGGGGAGUACGGUCGCAAGAUUAAAACUCAAAUGAAUUGACGGGGUCAUAGCUGUUUCCU